CAAAACCGUGAGGCUCAGGAUGGGAUGAGCUAAAUUGGAUAAUUCCUCUAGUGGUUGGAAGCAGGGCGUUACAAUUAAUGAUAUUAUCUUAUUUUUAUAAAAAAAAAAAAGGUAAUUUAGCUUGUAAUUAUUGUUAACUUGUUAAAACAAUAAAAAAAGAAAAUGAAAUAUUUAUUUGAUGUUGAAUGGAUUCAUUUUUCUAUUUGGUUAUCGGUAUUUUUAAUUGUUCAUA
RNAcentral lists this unclassified non-coding RNA (232 nucleotides) under Hevea brasiliensis (rubber tree). Lineage: Eukaryota; Viridiplantae; Streptophyta; Magnoliopsida; Malpighiales; Euphorbiaceae. The record is from RNAcentral.